CAGGAAGUGACAACAUUUUGGAGGGAAAGCACCAGCACAAACAUCUGAAAUUAAGUUGCAACCGCAAUGUGUUCAAAACGAGAGCGCUCACACCGAGCCAAGUCCUUUUAAUUUGCAUGUUUUGUGCAAAUUCCUGCGUGUCGAUGAAUUAAAACUGCGAGCCAAAGAAGUUGAAAGACUUAUAUACAUAUAUAUAUAGGAAAGAACGUAUGCUGUGUCUGAGUGGAACCCUUGACUCCUGGAAACCUUUGUGCGGACCUCAAACUCAUUUGGACGGAGCGUGCAGUCCCCAUCCCUGCAUGGCGCCAGCUGACAAUGCUCCACAUCAACACCCUGACGAUUGAGAGAUCUAGAGUGACAUGGGACCCUCUUCCAUUCAUAAUAAAACAAUUAAGUUGUUUGCUAUGGAAUGGACGGAGUGUUCCGUCAAGCUACGGAUUAGUCUCCUGUGAGCAACUGCGUGAUUCCUGUUCCCCCCACAACAGAGGUGGACAGCUGGAGGUGCUGGCGGAAGCAGGCUUCGUGCUGUCUGCUAGGCCAUCUGGAAAAGAGCAGGAUUCCAAGGCUGAUGAUGAGGUGGAGAAAAGUGCUUUCCCUUCUGCUCGGCAGCGCCGUGAUUUGUGUUACGCCAUUUGCGAAAGGACCUGUACUUUCUCUCUGAAGCUAUUCUGACAUUUCUCACUUCCCAUCUCCUGCCCCAGGCAUUUACAAGGGCCAACAGAGAGAUUUUUACAUCUCUGGUGGAUCACAUCAACUUUAAGGGCCCGUAGGACAGAAUCGUGUCCAUCCAAUAGUAUUUAUUUAAUACAGCUUUAACCUUUUAACACAGUUAUUUGAGUAGCAGGUCACACUUGGUAUGUCUGCAUCAAAUAAAGGGGUCACGACUUUCAGAACUCAAAAUGUCAUUCGAGUU
This is a long non-coding RNA of Sinocyclocheilus rhinocerous, 913 nucleotides long. RefSeq lists it as uncharacterized. NCBI's taxonomy places the organism in Eukaryota, Metazoa, Chordata, Actinopteri, Cypriniformes, Cyprinidae. The transcript is spliced from 3 exons. The record is from RefSeq and is a predicted model, not a curated record.